RNAcentral lists this ribosomal RNA (657 nucleotides) under Lentilactobacillus buchneri. Its description in RNAcentral is "bacterial SSU rRNA". It matches the Rfam family "Bacterial small subunit ribosomal RNA", at positions 97 to 739 of the family's 1533-position model. The record is from RNAcentral. Lineage: Bacteria; Bacillati; Bacillota; Bacilli; Lactobacillales; Lactobacillaceae.
GGCGAACUGGUGAGUAACACGUGGGUAACCUGCCCUUGAAGUAGGGGAUAACACUUGGAAACAGGUGCUAAUACCGUAUAACAACCAAAACCACCUGGUUUUGGUUUAAAAGACGGCUUCGGCUGUCACUUUAGGAUGGACCCGCGGCGUAUUAGCUUGUUGGUAAGGUAACGGCUUACCAAGGCGAUGAUACGUAGCCGACCUGAGAGGGUAAUCGGCCACAUUGGGACUGAGACACGGCCCAAACUCCUACGGGAGGCAGCAGUAGGGAAUCUUCCACAAUGGACGAAAGUCUGAUGGAGCAACGCCGCGUGAGUGAUGAAGGGUUUCGGCUCGUAAAACUCUGUUGUUGGAGAAGAACAGGUGUCAGAGUAACUGUUGACAUCUUGACGGUAUCCAACCAGAAAGCCACGGCUAACUACGUGCCAGCAGCCGCGGUAAUACGUAGGUGGCAAGCGUUGUCCGGAUUUAUUGGGCGUAAAGCGAGCGCAGGCGGUUUUUUAGGUCUGAUGUGAAAGCCUUCGGCUUAACCGGAGAAGUGCAUCGGAAACCGGGAGACUUGAGUGCAGAAGAGGACAGUGGAACUCCAUGUGUAGCGGUGAAAUGCGUAGAUAUAUGGAAGAACACCAGUGGCGAAGGCGGCUGUCUGGUCUGUAA